AGAGUUUGAUCCUGGCUCAGGAUGAACGCUGGCGGCGUGCUUAACACAUGCAAGUCGAACGAAGCACUUUUACAGAUUUCUUCGGAAUGAAGUUUUGGUGACUGAGUGGCGGACGGGUGAGUAACGCGUGGGUAACCUGCCUCACACAGGGGGAUAACAGUUGGAAACGGCUGCUAAUACCGCAUAAGCGCACGAGAGGACAUCCUCUUGUGUGAAAAACUCCGGUGGUACAGGAUGGGCCCGCGUCUGAUUAGCUGGUUGGCAGGGUAACGGCCUACCAAGGCGACGAUCAGUAGCCGGUCUGAGAGGAUGAACGGCCACAUUGGAACUGAGACACGGUCCAAACUCCUACGGGAGGCAGCAGUGGGGAAUAUUGCACAAUGGGGGAAACCCUGAUGCAGCAACGCCGCGUGAGUGAAGAAGUAUUUCGGUAUGUAAAGCUCUAUCAGCAGGGAAGAAAAUGACGGUACCUGACUAAGAAGC
This 483-nucleotide ribosomal RNA is filed under the name uncultured bacterium. RNAcentral describes it as "bacterial SSU rRNA". It matches the Rfam family "Bacterial small subunit ribosomal RNA", at positions 8 to 491 of the family's 1533-position model. The record is from RNAcentral.